This 1930-nucleotide long non-coding RNA is filed under the name Cyanistes caeruleus (blue tit). Its description in RNAcentral is "lncRNA (ENSCCEG00000020713.1)". The record is from RNAcentral. Lineage: Eukaryota; Metazoa; Chordata; Aves; Passeriformes; Paridae.
CCUCAGUUUAAGAAGAAAUGAUCAAAUAAAACAAACCACAAUUCUCUGCUUUUAUGAAUAAGGAAGAGAUAGAAGAGUGACCAGGGGAUAAAAUACUCUGAUAAAAAUGCAGCAGUUCAUUUGAAAAUAAUUAAAGAUGACAGCCUGGAUCCCAAGAUAAGGAAAACAAUGAUACAAAAAGGAAUCAUCAGCUCAGUAAGAGUCUGGAAGCUCUUUUGUGUGGCCUGAUGUGUUUUCAAAACUAGACAAUACUGUCUGUUGGGCAAAUACCAACAGAGAGUAAACAAAGCUGUAUUUUUUUCAACAGAUAAAGUAGAUAUUAACUCCCCUUAAAGGGGGAGUUAAUAUUCCUCAAUAGACCAAAUCCUUCCCCCAAAUCAUACUCAAUGCUAUCUUUAAGAUAUUAUCAUUUUCUUUUAGCUAAACACAUUUACUAAAUUUACUGGAUUAACAUGAGUGUACAGGGCACAGAGUUAUCUUCAGAGCUCCUUAAAUAAAAAAAGUGUGGCCUCUGAGGUUGGUUCAUGCAGUUCCACCUCUAACUGGCCUCAAUGAGGCCAGGCAGCCUGGUGUAGAUGAUGGUAAUCAGUGGCUGAUUGGAGAGAGGUUGGUUUGAAGGACAAGAGCUUCUCCUCUGUGGAGAGAUUGAAAGGAAUAUCUUGAAAAUGUAAGGAAAGAAAACCCACCAGGUAAAACAAGUCCUGGAAGCUUUAGCUGUGGUGUCAGGGCUUGCAACAGAGAGUGAUGGUGGCUCUUAUCAGUGCUGGCAGGUGUAGGAGGUGUGAGCAGCCUUGCAGGCAGACUAUCCAGGUCACUGCAUCCAGGAAGGGAGAGAAAGCAAAAGUUCCUCAACACCAGAUUUCCUGUGACAGAAAAUGUACACCUAUUUUUUAUGUACUCAGACAUUACAGUGUGUGAAGAAAAACACAAAAGAAGCAACAGUUUUCCUUUCAUGAAAAAGAAAUCCAGGAAUAAGUGUGGUCAGACAAGACAAUGAAGGUGAGAUAAAACACUGAAUAGCUAUAUUAAGCAAGCUCCUACUUUGUUCAGUGUACAUAUGGGUCCCACUGGAAAAAGCAAAACAAAAAGCAAGUGGAAAGCUGUAAUUCAAUACACUGUUUGAAAAAAUGACCCCAGAUGUAAUGUUUCCUAGCAUCCAGAUAGUUCAACCAAUAUUACAAGACCAUUAAUGUCAUAGCUGUGUUUUAUUUUACUCAUAAUCCAAGAAAAGGGAAGGAGAAAAGAGAUUUGUCGCAGGUGUGUUCGGUAGAAAUUCUCUACAAAGGUGAAUGGCUGAUAUGCCAGGAGAUGGUCAGGCUUAAAUUUGUAACACUCCCUCUAGAAAUGCAGGGCUGGAUAAUGCCUGCACUGCCAACACCAUGCAGCAUGCUACACAUUUGGCACAACAGGUAAAAGAAAGAUUGUAUGUAAAGUGAUGCAGCUGAAGCAACAGUGGAACAGCAUUUUGGAAACUGCUUUCAGUGUAGGAAAUCAUAGGAUUUGAGUGACAGGACUGGAUCAACAGAAGGGCUUGGGGAAGAGGCAUGGAGAAGUUCCGUGUUUGGGUCUGGUUUGUUUGUUCAUCCCUUUCCCCCUCUGUUCAGUCAGCAGCACACAAGGCAAUCUGUCAUACAACAGAUUCUGCCUACAGUCUGGGUGGGAUUGCUAAGGGAAUGAGGUUCUUCCUCCUGGUCUGAUGACUGAGCAGAAAAGGAAAAGAAAGAAGUACUUUAAUCUGAAAGGAAAAGUUCAGCUUUGUGGGUUCCUGACAAGACAGUUUGGUAUGAAAAAUAAUCCUGUUGUGAGGAAACUUUUAAUCACUCCUUUCUUCAUUAAGUGUUAACAACAGAUUAGUACAAUUAUAAAUUUGAUAUUUUAAAAUUAAUGGAAUUGAAAAAUAAAUGCUAUUAUAUAAUAUAGUAUAUUAUAG